AUUGAACGCUGGCGGCAGGCCUAACACAUGCAAGUCGAACGGUAACAGGAAGCAGCUUGCUGCUUCGCUGACGAGUGGCGGACGGGUGAGUAAUGUCUGGGAAGCUGCCUGAUGGAGGGGGAUAACUACUGGAAACGGUAGCUAAUACCGCAUAAUGUCGCAAGACCAAAGAGGGGGACCUUCGGGCCUCUUGCCAUCGGAUGUGCCCAGAUGGGAUUAGCUUGUUGGUGGGGUAACGGCUCACCAAGGCGACGAUCCCUAGCUGGUCUGAGAGGAUGACCAGCCACACUGGAACUGAGACACGGUCCAGACUCCUACGGGAGGCAGCAGUGGGGAAUAUUGCACAAUGGGCGCAAGCCUGAUGCAGCCAUGCCGCGUGUAUGAAGAAGGCCUUCGGGUUGUAAAGUACUUUCAGCGGGGAGGAAGGGAGUAAAGUUAAUACCUUUGCUCAUUGACGUUACCCGCAGAAGAAGCACCGGCUAACUCCGUGCCAGCAGCCGCGGUAAUACGGAGGGUGCAAGCGUUAAUCGGAAUUACUGGGCGUAAAGCGCACGCAGGCGGUUUGUUAAGUCAGAUGUGAAAUCCCCGGGCUCAACCCGGGAACUGCAUCUGAUACUGGCAAGCUUGAGUCUCGUAGAGGGGGGUAGAAUUCCAGGUGUAGCGGUGAAAUGCGUAGAGAUCUGGAGGAAUACCGGUGGCGAAGGCGGCCCCCUGGACGAAGACUGACGCUCAGGUGCGAAAGCGUGGGGAGCAAACAGGAUUAGAUACCCUGGUAGUCCACGCCGUAAACGAUGUCGACUUGGAGGUUGUGCCCUUGAGGCGUGGCUUCCGGAGCUAACGCGUUAAGUCGACCGCCUGGGGAGUACGGCCGCAAGGUUAAAACCCAAAUGAAUUGACGGGGGCCCGCACAAGCGGUGGAGCAUGUGGUUUAAUUCGAUGCAACGCGAAGAACCUUACCUGGUCUUGACAUCCACGGAAGUUUUCAGAGAUGAGAAUGUGCCUUCGGGAACCGUGAGACAGGUGCUGCAUGGCUGUCGUCAGCUCGUGUUGUGAAAUGUUGGGUUAAGUCCCGCAACGAGCGCAACCCUUAUCCUUUGUUGCCAGCGGUCCGGCCGGGAACUCAAAGGAGACUGCCAGUGAUAAACUGGAGGAAGGUGGGGAUGACGUCAAGUCAUCAUGGCCCUUACGACCAGGGCUACACACGUGCUACAAUGGCGCAUACAAAGAGAAGCGACCUCGCGAGAGCAAGCGGACCUCAUAAAGUGCGUCGUAGUCCGGAUUGGAGUUUGCAACUCGACUCCAUGAAGUCGGAAUCGCUAGUAAUCGUGGAUCAGAAUGCCACGGUGAAUACGUUCCCGGGCCU
Molecule: ribosomal RNA, 1363 nt
Filed under: uncultured bacterium
Lineage: Bacteria
Description: bacterial SSU rRNA
Rfam family: Bacterial small subunit ribosomal RNA
Source: RNAcentral